This 458-nucleotide ribosomal RNA is filed under the name Carcharhinus limbatus (blacktip shark). RNAcentral describes it as "partial 12S ribosomal RNA". It matches the Rfam family "Bacterial small subunit ribosomal RNA", at positions 878 to 1533 of the family's 1533-position model. Lineage: Eukaryota; Metazoa; Chordata; Chondrichthyes; Carcharhiniformes; Carcharhinidae. The record is from RNAcentral.
UACUACAAGCGCUAGCUUAAAACCCAAAGGACUUGGCGGUAUCCCAUACCCACCUAGAGGAGCCUGUUCUAUAACCGAUAAUCCCCGUUCAACCUCACCACUUCUUGCCAUUACCGUCUAUAUACCGCCGUCGUCAGCCCACCCUGUGAAGGACUAAAAGUAAGCAAAAAGAAUAAAACUCCAAAACGUCAGGUCGAGGUGUAGCAAAUGAAGUGGGAAGAAAUGGGCUACAUUUUUUUUCAAAAACAUACGAAUGGUAAACUGAAAACAUACCUAAAGGUGGAUUUAGCAGUAAGAGGAGAUCAGAAUACUCCCCUGAAAUCGGCUCUGGGAUAAGCACACACCGCCCGUCACUCUCCUCAAAAACAACCUAUCCUUUUUCAUAAACACAUCUCUUUAAUAAGAGGAGGCAAGUCGUAACAUGGUAAGUGUACUGGAAAGUGCACUUGGAAUCAAAA